Molecule: long non-coding RNA, 1047 nt
Filed under: Phocoena sinus (vaquita)
Lineage: Eukaryota; Metazoa; Chordata; Mammalia; Artiodactyla; Phocoenidae
Description: lncRNA (ENSPSNG00000001118.1)
Source: RNAcentral
GACUGGGGAAGCAAGCACAAGGGCCAGGAGGGUGAAGGGGAAACCGAAGUCUUAACUCAGAUGGAGUCAGAAACUCAACAGCCAUAUUGGGAAGAUACUCAAGCAGUCCUAUGGAGUGUUUCACAUGACAAGGAACUGAGGGCCUCCUGCCAGCCACCAGCACUACCUUGCUAGACAUCUUUUUUUUUUCUCCCUUCUCUUCUGAGGUGUGGCUGACAGGAUCUUGGUGCUCUGGCUGAGUGUCAGUCCUGAGCCUCUGAGGUGGAAGAGCUGAGUUUAGGACAUUGGACCACCAGAGACAUCCUGGCCCCACAUAAUAUCAAUCAGCAAGAGCUCUCCCAGAGAUCUCCAUUUCAGCGCUGAGAUCCAGCUCCACUCAAAGACCAACAAGCUCCAGUGCUUGACACCGCAUGCCAAACAACUAGCAAGACAGGAAUACAACCCAACCCAUUAGCAGAGAGGCUGCCUAAAAUCAUAAAAAGUGCACAGACUCCCCAAAACACACCACCAGACACAGUCCUACUGACCAGAAAGACAACAUCCAGCCUCAUCCACCAUAACACAGGCACCAUAACACAGGCACCAGUCCCCCCCACCAGGAAGCCUACACAACACACUUAACCAACCUUACCCAUUGUGGGCAGACACCAAAAAUAAUGGGAACUACGAACCUGCAGCCUGCGAAAAGGAGACCCCAAACACAGUAAGUUAAGCAAAAUGAGAAGACAGAGAAAUACACAGCAGAUGAAGGAGAAAGGUAAAAACCCACCAGACCAAACAAAUGAAGAGGAAAUAGGCAGUCUAACUGAAAAAGAAUUCAGAGUAAUGAUAGGAAAGAUGACCCAACAUCUUGGAAAUAGAAUGGAGAAAAUACAAGAAAUGUUUAACAAGGACCUAGAAGAACUAAAGAGCAAACAAACAAUGAUGAAUGACACAAUAAAUGAAAUUAAAAAUUCUCUAGAAGGAAUCAAUAGCAGAAUAACUGAGGCAUAAGAACAGAUAAGUGACCUGGAAGAUAAAAUAGCAGAAAUAACUACUGCAGAGCAG